RNAcentral lists this ribosomal RNA (446 nucleotides) under uncultured Comamonadaceae bacterium. RNAcentral's name for it is "bacterial SSU rRNA". It matches the Rfam family "Bacterial small subunit ribosomal RNA", at positions 933 to 1382 of the family's 1533-position model. The record is from RNAcentral. Lineage: Bacteria; Pseudomonadati; Pseudomonadota; Betaproteobacteria; Burkholderiales; Comamonadaceae.
UGGAUGAUGUGGAUUAAUUCGAUGCAACGCGAAGAACUUUACCUACCCUUGACAUGUCCGGAACUUGCCAGAGAUGGCUUGGUGCCCGAAAGGAAUCGGAACACAGGUGCUGCAUGGCUGUCGUCAGCUCGUGUCGUGAGAUGUUGGGUUAACCGUCCCGCAACGAGCGCAACCCUUAUCAUUAGUUGCUACGCAAGGGCACUCUAAUGAGACUGCCGGUGACAAACCGGAGGAAGGUGGGGAUGACGUCAAGUCCUCAUGGCCCUUAUGGGUAGGGCUUCACACGUCAUACAAUGGCUGGUACAAAGGGUUGCCAACCCGCGAGGGGGAGCCAAUCCCAUAAAGCCAGUCGUAGUCCGGAUCGCAGUCUGCAACUCGACUGCGUGAAGUCGGAAUCGCUAGUAGUCGUGGAUCAGCAUGUCACGGUGAAUACGUUCCCGGGUCUU